This 294-nucleotide unclassified non-coding RNA is filed under the name Saitozyma sp. RNAcentral's name for it is "partial contains 5.8S ribosomal RNA, internal transcribed spacer 2, and large subunit ribosomal RNA". The stretch from base 1 to 71 matches the Rfam family "5.8S ribosomal RNA", at positions 84 to 154 of the family's 154-position model. The record is from RNAcentral. Lineage: Eukaryota; Fungi; Basidiomycota; Tremellomycetes; Tremellales; Trimorphomycetaceae.
GUGAAUCAUCGAAUCUUUGAACGCACCUUGCGCCCUCUGGUAUUCCGGAGGGCAUGCCUGUUUGAGUGUCAUGUAGACUCAAUCCCUCGGGUUUCCGAGGAGAUUGGACUUGGGUGUUGCCGCUCUGCCGGCUCGCCUUAAAAGACUUAGCGGGAUAGCACCGUAGUCGGCGUAAUAAGUUUCGUCGGUGAAGGUUGUGAUGACUGCUUACAAUCGCCCUCGGGCAAUUUUUGACUCUGACCUCAAAUCAGGUAGGACUACCCGCUGAACUUAAGCAUAUCAAUAAGCGGAGGA